CCUACGGUGGGCAGCAGUGGGGGAUAUUGCACAAUGGGGGGAACCCUGAUGCAGCGACGCCGCGUGGGUGAAGAAGCGCCUCGGCGCGUAAAGCCCUGUCAGCAGGGAAGAAAAUUACGGUACCUGAAGAAGACGCCCCGGCUAACUCCGUGCCAGCCGCCACGGUAAUACGUAGGGGGCAAGCGUUAUCCGGGUUUACUGGGUGUAAGGGGGGUGCUGAAGGGGAUGCAAGCCAGGGGGGAAGGCCCGGGCCCCAACCCCGGGACUGCUGUUGGAACUGCUUGGCGGGAGUGCAGGAGGGGCGGGCGGAAUUCCUGGUGUAGCGGUGAAAUGCGUAGAUAUCAGGAGGAACACCGGUGGCGAAGGCGGCCUGCUAGACUGCAACUGACGUUGAGGCCCGAAAGCGUGGGGAGCAAACAGGAUUAGAUACCCCGGUAGUC
Molecule: ribosomal RNA, 440 nt
Filed under: uncultured bacterium
Lineage: Bacteria
Description: partial 16S ribosomal RNA
Rfam family: Bacterial small subunit ribosomal RNA
Source: RNAcentral